UGAGUAAAUCAGACAGUCGCGGGUGCAAGUUCGAAAGAACGCAUACGAGGAAAGUCCGAGCUCCAUAGGGCAAGAUGCUGGAUAACUCCCAGUGGAGGCGACUCCAAGGAUAGUGCAACAGAAAUAAACCGCUUUAGAUUUAUUCUAAAGUAAGGGUGGAAUGGCGAGGUAAGAGCUCACCGCUUCUCUGGUGACAGGGAGGGCUAUGUAAACCCCAUCUGGAGCAAAACCGUAUAGGAGAACAAUUGUGAUCGCCCGUCACGUUCUCGGGUAGGUUGCUUGAGUUUAUUGGUAACAAUAAGCCUAGACAGAUGACUGUCAAAUACAGAACUCGGCUUAUAGAUUUGCUCAUAUU
RNAcentral lists this RNase P RNA (355 nucleotides) under Candidatus Epulonipiscium sp. Its description in RNAcentral is "RNase P RNA component class A". It matches the Rfam family "Bacterial RNase P class A". From Rfam's summary of the family: Ribonuclease P (RNase P) is a ubiquitous endoribonuclease, found in archaea, bacteria and eukarya as well as chloroplasts and mitochondria. Its best characterised activity is the generation of mature 5'-ends of tRNAs by cleaving the 5'-leader elements of precursor-tRNAs. Cellular RNase Ps are ribonucleoproteins. Lineage: Bacteria; Bacillati; Bacillota; Clostridia; Lachnospirales; Lachnospiraceae. The record is from RNAcentral.